GUCUACGGCCAUACCACCCUGAACGCGCCCGAUCUUGUCUGAUCUCGGAAGCUAAGCAGGGUCGGGCCUGGUUAGUACUUGGAUGGGAAGGAAAAUAAAAAGUCCUCAAUG
This 111-nucleotide ribosomal RNA is filed under the name Neogale vison (American mink). Lineage: Eukaryota; Metazoa; Chordata; Mammalia; Carnivora; Mustelidae. The record is from RNAcentral.